CUGGCUUGUUCUAAUUCUAUGCUCAAGAUUGUAUCCUUAACCAAUUGUUUCUAAUGACUGGGAGUGUUGCUCCCCAAUUAAAGUUUGAACUCUCUUCACAGAANNCUCUUCUAGUUUCUGUAGUAGCAUUAGGCUCCCUGAAUGAGGAAGCAGAUCAUGCUUGAGAGAUUUUGAUGGAGACAUCCAAGGUGAUGCUGGGUGACCUAUCCUCAAAGUAGGAAUGUCUUCAAUUGUGGAAACUCGU
RNAcentral lists this unclassified non-coding RNA (244 nucleotides) under Hevea brasiliensis (rubber tree). The record is from RNAcentral. Lineage: Eukaryota; Viridiplantae; Streptophyta; Magnoliopsida; Malpighiales; Euphorbiaceae.